RNAcentral lists this non-coding RNA (988 nucleotides) under Selaginella moellendorffii. RNAcentral describes it as "Eukaryotic large subunit ribosomal RNA". It matches the Rfam family "Eukaryotic large subunit ribosomal RNA", at positions 2388 to 3401 of the family's 3401-position model. The record is from Rfam by way of RNAcentral. Lineage: Eukaryota; Viridiplantae; Streptophyta; Lycopodiopsida; Selaginellales; Selaginellaceae.
GCUCAAGUAGGGGCUACCCUAAACCCUAAAGUUCAAUCCUAUUGCACUAUGAAAUGUGGGUUUUGUAUGAGGUGUAGAAGCUUUGGCACAAGUGAUAUACCACUACUUUUAAAGUUAUUUUACUUACUCUGUGAGGUGGAGAUGGGGCUUAGCCCCUUCUUCUUGUCCCAAAUCCAGCUCAUGCUAGCCAAUCUAGGCGGAUAACAUUGUUAGAUGGGGAAUUUGGCUGGGGCAGCACAUUUGCUAAAAGAUAAUGCAUGUGUCCUAAGACGAGCUCAAUGAGAACAAAACUCUUAUGUGGAACAAAAUGGUAAAAGCUCAUUUGAUUUUGAUCUUCAGUAUGAAUAGAAACUGUGAAAGCAUGGCCUGUUGAUCUUUUAGUGUUUCCAAAUUUGAAGCUAGAGGUGUCAGACAAGUUACCACAGGGAUAAUUGGCUUGUGGUAGCCAAGUAUUUAUAGCAAUAUUGCUUUUUGAUCCUUUGAUGUUGGCUUUUCCUAUCAUUAUGAAGUAGAAUUCACCAAGUGUCAGAUUGUUCACCCACCAAUAGGGAACAUGAGCUGGGUUUAGACCGUCAUGAGACAGGUUAAUUUUACCCUACUAAUGAGCUGUGCCACUAAUUCAACUUAGUACAAGAGGAACUGUUAAUUUACACAAUUGGUAAUUGCACUUGGCUAUGGUGGAAAGCUACCAUAUGUGGGAAUAUAACUAAAUGCCUCUAAGUCAAACUCCAUUGUAGAUGUGGUGCUCUCUACCUCCUUAGCUAUUACCUGAUUAAGGUUAGGGGGGGCCCAUGCUCCCUCAAGAACACAUGACACAAGCACUGUCCCCUAAGGCCCAUGCUCCCUCGAGGGUGUGGCUUGGAAAUCCAAUUUCAAAUGAUCAAGGAGAUAAAUCUUUUGUAGAUGACUUAAAUAGGGGAUGAAGUACUAUAAGUGGCAAAGUAGUUUGUGUAAGCAACUAAAUUUUUUCAUUCUACUUUAGUCACUU